UACGUAGGGUGCAGGCGUUAAUCGGAAUUACUGGGCGUAAAGCGUGCGCAGGCGGUCUUUUAAGUCAGAUGUGAAAUCCCCGGGCUUAACCUGGGAACUGCGUUUGAAACUGGAAAGCUAGAGUGUGGCAGAGGGGGGUGGAAUUCCACGUGUAGCAGUGAAAUGCGUAGAUAUGUGGAGGAACACCGAUGGCGAAGGCAGCCCCCUGGGCUAACACUGACGCUCAUGCACGAAAGCGUGGGGAGCAAACAGG
RNAcentral lists this ribosomal RNA (253 nucleotides) under uncultured bacterium. RNAcentral's name for it is "partial 16S ribosomal RNA". It matches the Rfam family "Bacterial small subunit ribosomal RNA", at positions 524 to 776 of the family's 1533-position model. The record is from RNAcentral.